GAAGUGCGAUAAGCAAUGCGAAUUGCAGAACCGUGAGUCAUCAGAUUUUUGAACGCAACUGGCACCUACGGGUUCUCCCGCAGGUAUGCUUGUUUCAGUAUGUUUUUAUCUCCUCCCCCAAAUCAUAAUGUGACAGAUGCCCUUCUGUCGCUAAAUAUGGAAGCAAUCUGUUCAUCGCAGUGACUUCGGUCACACUCAAUGCAGACGCCACAUUCUACAAUGUGAACUCAUUGAUGGCAAUGGCAGCGCAUCUUCGGGUGCAAUUGCUUGGAGACUUUAAUUUUCCCAUCAUCUGAAGCAAGUAGGAGUACCCGCUGAACUUAA
Molecule: unclassified non-coding RNA, 324 nt
Filed under: uncultured fungus
Lineage: Eukaryota; Fungi
Description: sequence contains ITS1
Rfam family: 5.8S ribosomal RNA (bases 1-103)
Source: RNAcentral